AUGGACAAGAAGAGGGUGGCCAUCGUCGGCGCCGGCCUGAGUGGCCUGGCGGCGUGCAAGCACCUGCUGGAGCGCGGCUGCCGGCCGACCGUCUUCGAGGCGGACACCGUCCUCGGCCGCGUGUGGGCGCACGCACCAGAGUGCACCAGGCUCCAGACGCCACGGCCCAUGUUCCAGUACUCCGACUUCCCGUGGCCGGAGUCUGUCACGGAGGUGUUCCCGGACCACCGCCAGGUCGCCGACUACCUCGACGCCUACGCACGCCACUUCGGCGUGCUCGACUGCAUCAGGUUCGGCCGCAGGGUGGUCGGGAUGGAGUAUGUGGGCGUCGGCGAGGAGGAGGUGGCGGCGUGGGAGGACUGGGCUGGGUGCGGCGAGGCGUUUGGUUCCGGCGAUGGCGAGUGGCAGCUCACGGUGGCCGACGUCGACGGUCUCAUGGAGGUACACAAGGCAGACUUUGUGAUCCUUUGUAUUGGGAGGUUCAGUGGUGUGCCCAACAUACCUACAUUUCCAGUUGGCAAAGGCCCAGAAGUGUUUGACGGGAAAGUGAUCCACUCCAUGGAGUACUCGAAAAUGGGAGGCAAAAAUGCUAGAGAUAUGAUCAAGGACAAGCAUGUGACUGUUAUUGGCUACCUGAGAUCAGCAGUAGACAUUGCAAAUGAGUGUGCCAACGUCAAUGGUACCGAAAAACCAUGCACGAUGGUAGUACGAACAAAGAGUUGGAAUAUACCAGACUACUAUGCUUGGGGCGUCCACAUUUCAAAUUUCUAUCUCACCCGUCUCUCCGAACUACUUAUUCACAAGCCUGGUGAAGGCUUUCUCCUCAACAUGUUGGCUACUGUCUUGACUCCACUGAGGUUGAUUUUUUCGAAGUUUGUUGAGAGCUACUACUCAAUUGCAAUGAGGAAGCAUGACAUGGUGCCUGACCAUAGCUUUUUUGAGGGAUUAGUGGCAUGUGUAGCUGCCAUUGCACCAAAGGAUCAUUACAAGAAUCUGGAGGAAGGUAGCAUCGUUCUUAAGAAGUCAAAAACAUUCAGCUUUUGUGAAGAAGGUGUGCAUUUUGAAGGUGAAUGUACUCCAGUAAAGAGUGACAUUGUUAUCUUCGGAACAGGAUUCAACGGUGAUCAAAAGAUCAAGGACAUGUUCACAUCAGAAUACUUUCGGAGCAUAGUCGUUGGCUCAACAUCAACGACCGUGCCACUUUAUAGGGAGUGCAUCCAUCCAAAGAUUCCACAGCUCGCGGUCAUCGGCUAUUCCGAGAGCUUGACAAAUAUCUAUACAACAGAGCUUAUGUCCAAGUGGAUAUCACAUUUUAUGGAUGGUGGUUUCAGAUUGCCAAGUGUCAGAGAAAUGCAGAGGGAUGUCCUUGAAUGGGAGAAGUUCAUGAAGCGCUACUCUCGAGACUAUUUCCGUAGGUCAUGUGUUGGAAUUGUUCAUAUAUGGUACAAUGAUCAACUAUGCCAGGACAUGGGAUGCAACCCAAGAAGGAAGAAGGGUUUUUUCUCUGAAUUAUUUGAGCCUUAUGGUCCUUGUGAUUAUGUUAAUCUUCACCCCAAGUAA
RNAcentral lists this ribosomal RNA (1560 nucleotides) under Triticum aestivum (bread wheat). RNAcentral describes it as "partial small subunit ribosomal RNA". The record is from RNAcentral. Lineage: Eukaryota; Viridiplantae; Streptophyta; Magnoliopsida; Poales; Poaceae.